UACAUGUGGGGCAAGCGUUGUUCGGAAUUACUGGGCCUAAAGGGUGCGUAGGCGGUUUGUUAAGUCACUGGUGAAAGUUUUCGGCCCAACCGGAAAAUUGCCUGUGAUACUGGCGAACUUGAGUGCGUGAGGGGUGGGGGGAACGAGCAGUGUAGCGGUGAAAUGCGUAGAUAUCUGGAGGAACACCGGUGGCGAAGGCGGCAUCCUGGACCGGCAUUGACGCUGAGGCGCGAAAGCCAGGGGAGCAAACGGG
This 253-nucleotide ribosomal RNA is filed under the name uncultured bacterium. RNAcentral describes it as "partial 16S ribosomal RNA". It matches the Rfam family "Bacterial small subunit ribosomal RNA", at positions 524 to 776 of the family's 1533-position model. The record is from RNAcentral.